UAGAUUUUAUAACAUAACCUAGAAAAUUCUGGUUCCGUGACCCGUAGGUGGCGUGAUGAAAUACCUCAAAUGGUUUUACACAGUUUGAAAAGAUGCGUUGGACAGGGAUUCCGAGGACCCGGACCAAUGUUUAAGAAAAGCAAUGACAAACAUUAAAAACAAAUUAUCAAAACAAAAACAUAAAUUUACGAACAAUAACUCUUAUUCCAUACAAAUUUUAACGAUUUAAUUUAAAUAAAAUAAAAAUAAAUAAACCAAAAAUAAAAUAAAAACAAGAAUUUCCGAAGUGAUUUCCCUAGAACGAUUCCCUUGCAAGAGAUUUCACAGGUAUUUCACAGGCUAAACUCUGGGACGUUCCCCUUGCAUGGGACAAGCCAUACAACAAAUAAGUAUAAGUAACAAUGGAAAUCCGAGAGGACUUCAAAAAAGUCUCCUUUGCAUUUCCCCUUGGAAAAAGCGGAAAUCCCAUACAAUUUUCUAUAAGGGGCGUCUCUUGUUCUUCUUCCGCGCAAGCGGACAGGCCCCUCCGGAAUCUCACGGGGAAGGGAAACUUUUUUCGGAGUUGAAGGGUAUAUUCACCACGCUGGCAACCAAUUAAAUCAAAUCACAUCCGCUUAAGGAGGCUUGUGCUGAAUGGCCAGUUGAGAUGUCAAUAUUCUUAUAGACUACUUCUUGCCCAUUAGUUUAUAUAUAUGGUAUGCAGUGCACGCGACAUUUAAAUCGUAUUCAAAUAAGUCGGCCUGUGUGUGAAACGUACCAAGCGGAUAUAUAUAUUUUUAUAAUUUAAUGCUAUUAAUGUACAGUGUGUACCCGAUAUGUGCGCAUACUACAUCUCCCUCUUUUUGAUA
Drosophila biarmipes is the source of this 848-nucleotide long non-coding RNA. RefSeq lists it as uncharacterized. NCBI's taxonomy places the organism in Eukaryota, Metazoa, Arthropoda, Insecta, Diptera, Drosophilidae. The record is from RefSeq and is a predicted model, not a curated record. The transcript is spliced from 3 exons.